UUCCGGUCCGCACUGGUGUGAUGGAUUCCUACCUUCUGAAUAACCAGCAUGCCAUUAAUUUGGUGCGUUGGGGAAGCAGGACUGUUACCUUGAAAAAAUUAGAGUGCUUAAAGCAGGCUAGUGCCUGAAUACAUUAGCAUGGAAUAAUGAAAUAGGACGGCAUGGUUCUAUUUUGUUGGUUUCUAGGAUCACCGUAAUGAUUAAUAGGGAUAGUUGGGGGCAUUAGUAUUCAAUUGUCAGAGGUGAAAUUCUUGGAUUUAUUGAAGACUAACUUCUGCGAAAGCAUUUGCCAAGGAUGUUUUCAUUAAUCAAGAACGAAAGUUAGGGGAUCGAAGACGAUCAGAUACCGUCGUAGUCUUAACCAUAAACUAUGCCGACUAGGGAUCGGACGAUGUUAAUUUUUUAAUGACUCGUUCGGCGCCUUACG
This 427-nucleotide ribosomal RNA is filed under the name uncultured Glomeromycotina. Its description in RNAcentral is "SSU rRNA". It matches the Rfam family "Eukaryotic small subunit ribosomal RNA", at positions 668 to 1092 of the family's 1831-position model. Lineage: Eukaryota; Fungi; Glomeromycota. The record is from RNAcentral.